AACACAAUACUUCAUGUAUGGAAGCAAAUCUAUAACAUAAUUCAAAUUUAAAUGGAUUAACAGAAAUGCUUUUUCAUUUUCUGAAAAUAG
Long non-coding RNA from Melanotaenia boesemani (Boeseman's rainbowfish), 90 nucleotides. RefSeq lists it as uncharacterized. Lineage: Eukaryota; Metazoa; Chordata; Actinopteri; Atheriniformes; Melanotaeniidae. The transcript is spliced from 3 exons. The record is from RefSeq and is a predicted model, not a curated record.